RNAcentral lists this ribosomal RNA (404 nucleotides) under uncultured bacterium. Its description in RNAcentral is "partial 16S ribosomal RNA". It matches the Rfam family "Bacterial small subunit ribosomal RNA", at positions 28 to 526 of the family's 1533-position model. The record is from RNAcentral.
GACGAACGCUGGCGGCGUGCCUAAUACAUGCAAGUCGAACGCAGUGGGGACGGGUGGGUAACACGUGGGUAACCUCCCCAUCAGAGGGGAUAACACUUGGAAACAGGUGCUAAACCGAUACUGAUGGAUGGACCCGCGGUGCAUGAGCUAGUUGGUGGGGUAACGGCUCACCAAGGCCACGAUGCAUAGCCGACCUUAGAGGGUGAUCGGCCACACUGGGACUGAGACACGGCCCAGACUCCUACGGGAGGCAGCAGUAGGGAAUAUUCGGCAAUGGACGAAAGUCUGACCGAGCCACGCCGCGUGAGUGAAGAAGGUUUUCGGAUCGUAAAACUCUGUUGUUAGAGAAGCGGUAUCUAACCAGAAAGCCACGGCUAACUCCGUGCCAGCAGCCGCGGUAAUAC